GUAGGGGCAGAGGGAAUUCCUGGUGUAGCGGUGAAAUGCGUAGAUAUAUGGAGGAACACCGGUGGCGAAAGCGGCUCUCUGGUCUGUAACUGACGCUGAGGCUCGAAAGCGUGGGGAGCGAACAGGAUUAGAUACCCUGGUAGUCCACGCCGUAAACGAUGAGUGCUAGGUGUUGGAUCCUUUCCGGGAUUCAGUGCCGCAGCUAACGCAUUAAGCACUCCGCCUGGGGAGUACGACCGCAAGGUUGAAACUCAAAGGAAUUGACGGGGGCCCGCACAAGCGGUGUCGACGCGGCCG
RNAcentral lists this ribosomal RNA (297 nucleotides) under uncultured bacterium. RNAcentral's name for it is "partial 16S ribosomal RNA". It matches the Rfam family "Bacterial small subunit ribosomal RNA", at positions 651 to 947 of the family's 1533-position model. The record is from RNAcentral.